UACGGAGGGUGCGAGCGUUGUCCGGAAUCACUGGGCGUAAAGGGCGCGUAGGCGGCCUGAUACGUCGGGGGUGAAAUCCUGCGGCUUAACCGCAGGGCUGCCUUCUAAACUGUCAGGCUAGAGCACAGUAGAGGCAGGUGGAAUUCCCGGUGUAGCGGUGGAAUGCGUAGAGAUCGGGAAGAACAUCAGUGGCGAAGGCGGCCUGCUGGGCUGUUGCUGACGCUGAGGCGCGACAGCGUGGGGAGCAAACAGG
RNAcentral lists this ribosomal RNA (253 nucleotides) under uncultured bacterium. RNAcentral's name for it is "partial 16S ribosomal RNA". It matches the Rfam family "Bacterial small subunit ribosomal RNA", at positions 524 to 776 of the family's 1533-position model. The record is from RNAcentral.